AGAGUUUGAUCCUGGCUCAGGACGAACGCUGGCGGCGUGCCUAAUACAUGCAAGUAGAACGCUGACUACUUUAGCUUGCUAGAGUAGAAGGAGUUGCGAACGGGUGAGUAACGCGUAGGUAACCUGCCUACUAGCGGGGGAUAACUAUUGGAAACGAUAGCUAAUACCGCAUAACAGUGUUUAACACAUGUUAGAUGCUUGAAAGAUGCAAUUGCAUCACUAGUAGAUGGACCUGCGUUGUAUUAGCUAGUUGGUGGGGUAACGGCCCACCAAGGCGACGAUACAUAGCCGACCUGAGAGGGUGAUCGGCCACACUGGGACUGAGACACGGCCCAGACUCCUACGGGAGGCAGCAGUAGGGAAUCUUCGGCAAUGGGGGCAACCCUGACCGAGCAACGCCGCGUGAGUGAAGAAGGUUUUCGGAUCGUAAAGCUCUGUUGUAAGAGAAGAACGUGUGUGAGAGUGGAAAGUUCACACAGUGACGGUAACUUACCAGAAAGGGACGGCUAACUACGUGCCAGCAGCCGCGGUAAUACGUAGGUCCCGAGCGUUGUCCGGAUUUAUUGGGCGUAAAGCGAGCGCAGGCGGUUUAAUAAGUCUGAAGUUAAAGGCAGUGGCUUAACCAUUGUUCGCUUUGGAAACUGUUAAACUUGAGUGCAGAAGGGGAGAGUGGAAUUCCAUGUGUAGCGGUGAAAUGCGUAGAUAUAUGGAGGAACACCGGUGGCGAAAGCGGCUCUCUGGUCUGUAACUGACGCUGAGGCUCGAAAGCGUGGGGAGCAAACAGGAUUAGAUACCCUGGUAGUCCACGCCGUAAACGAUGAGUGCUAGGUGUUAGGCCCUUUCCGGGGCUUAGUGCCGCAGCUAACGCAUUAAGCACUCCGCCUGGGGAGUACGACCGCAAGGUUGAAACUCAAAGGAAUUGACGGGGGCCCGCACAAGCGGUGGAG
This 947-nucleotide ribosomal RNA is filed under the name Streptococcus pasteurianus. RNAcentral's name for it is "bacterial SSU rRNA". It matches the Rfam family "Bacterial small subunit ribosomal RNA", at positions 8 to 937 of the family's 1533-position model. The record is from RNAcentral. Lineage: Bacteria; Bacillati; Bacillota; Bacilli; Lactobacillales; Streptococcaceae.